AUGAGUUGUUGAUUCCUUCAGCUAAGGUUGCUAAAGCAUUCUCUGGUAGAUGUAGGAGGACCUUCGCAUCAUCCAAACCUUAUGUAUUUUUUGUAUUUGUUAUCGAGAGUGUCAACUAUAUCAUAUGAUUCAGCGGAGAAAAAAUGAUUCUCUAACAGCGAUAUUUUUUUAUGCGGACCUUCUUGUCGCAAAAUAUUACCGGUAAUAUUAUCGACUAAUUGCAAUAAUAGUUGAUAAACAGGUAACUUUGUGUAGAUGAUUGACUAGAAGUUGGCAAUAUACAUUUGUUUUCAACUUACACUGCGGUCUUUGAAGCGGAACCCAAUUUAAUAUAUAGUAUUCAUAAGAUCUCUUCGUUCUUGUCAAUAGUAGUUUCGAUAGUAUGGUACGUUUUCUGAGUUUCGAACACGAAUUCUUUAUUUUUUAAGCUUUUGUUUCAUCUAGCUGCAGGGGAAGAAAGAUAUCGGCCUCCUUGGAGAGCCGCGUUUUUCUUUGAUAUUCUGUCUAUCCCAUACAUGGCCAGCGAUGAAGUUUCCAUUACAAACAACUAUGAUCAUUUUAAAGACCAUGAAGAGUAACUCAAACAAAGGAGCUACGUCAUAAAACGAAUCAUAAGUGCCUUGAUGUGAGCAGUUCCAAAGAAUUUACCGAAGGAUUAGUUAUCACUGAUUGCAAUGGAAAAAAAACGCAAAGAUGGAGUAUGGAGUCUGUACCCUGGAAGUGACUGUGAGAAAAGACACAUUCGGAAUUUUUAGUGUAAUUACAUGACUGACAUAAUAACCCAAUCAAUGAAGAACUAUGUUUGUAUUUUUAUGACUACUUCAAUAAUAAAAUUCUAUAAUAAAU
Molecule: long non-coding RNA, 846 nt
Organism: Leptinotarsa decemlineata (Colorado potato beetle)
Lineage: Eukaryota; Metazoa; Arthropoda; Insecta; Coleoptera; Chrysomelidae
Gene: Pgant3
Source: RefSeq, a predicted model, not a curated record